AUUGAACGCUGGCGGCAUGCCUAACACAUGCAAGUCGAACGGUAACAGGAAGAAGCUUGCUUCUUUGCUGACGAGUGGCGGACGGGUGAGUAAUGUCUGGGAAACUGCCUGAUGGAGGGGGAUAACUACUGGAAACGGUAGCUAAUACCGCAUAUCGUCGCAAGACCAAAGAGGGGGACCUUCGGGCCUCUUUCCAUCGGAUGUGCCCAGAUGGGAUUAGCUAGUAGGUGGGGUAACGGCCCACCUAGGCGACGAUCCCUAGCUGGUCUGAGAGGAUGACCAGCCACACUGGAACUGAGACACGGUCCAGACUCCUACGGGAGGCAGCAGUGGGGAAUAUUGCACAAUGGGCGAAAGCCUGAUGCAGCCAUGCCGCGUGUAUGAAGAAGGCCUUCGGGUUGUAAAGUACUUUCAGCGGGGAGGAAGGGAGUAAAGUUAAUACCUUUGCUCAUUGACGUUACCCGCAGAAGAAGCACCGGCUAACUCCGUG
RNAcentral lists this ribosomal RNA (490 nucleotides) under uncultured bacterium. RNAcentral's name for it is "partial 16S ribosomal RNA". It matches the Rfam family "Bacterial small subunit ribosomal RNA", at positions 30 to 507 of the family's 1533-position model. The record is from RNAcentral.